GGCAGCCAAGGGGGAAGGAGCCCUGCUGGAAUGAGCAAAAGAGAAGGGGCCAGACUGCAGCAAAUCAGCGACACCAUCCUUCCACCUCAGAUCCUGGGUUCUCUGGACAGAAAGUCAGUGCAAGGGAAAGUCUCCAUCAGCAAGUGUUGGCCACUUUCAAGAAGUUUCUCUAUCUAGUCAGACAAUAAAAACACAAGAGACUCACUGAGGCAGAUGGGCAUGCCCAGUGCAAAUGAAAUGCUUAGAGAACUGAAGCACUUCCAAC
Alligator sinensis (Chinese alligator) is the source of this 265-nucleotide long non-coding RNA. RefSeq lists it as uncharacterized. The record is from RefSeq and is a predicted model, not a curated record. Lineage: Eukaryota; Metazoa; Chordata; Crocodylia; Alligatoridae. The transcript has 3 exons.